RNAcentral lists this ribosomal RNA (478 nucleotides) under uncultured bacterium. RNAcentral's name for it is "partial 16S ribosomal RNA". It matches the Rfam family "Bacterial small subunit ribosomal RNA", at positions 28 to 523 of the family's 1533-position model. The record is from RNAcentral.
GACGAACGUUUGCGUCGUGCUUAACACAUGCAAGUCGAACGGUAAGGCCCUUCGGGGUACACGAGUGGCGAACGGGUGAGUAACACGUGGGUGAUCUGCCCUGCACUUCGGGAUAAGCCUGGGAAACUGGUUCUACUACCGCAUAGUCCCACUGCCUUCAUGGGUGGUGGUGGUAAGCUUUUGCGGUGUGGGAUGGGCCCGCGGCCUAUCAGCUUGUUGGUGGGGUGAUGGCCUACCCAGGCGACGACGGGUAGCCGGCCUGAGAGGGUGACCGGCCACACUGGGACUGAGAGACGGCCCAGAGUCCUACGGGAGGCAGCGGUGGGGAAUAUUGCACAAUGGGCGCAAGCCUGAUGCAGCGACGCCGCGGGAGGGAUGACGGCCGUCGGGUUGUAAACAUCUUUCAGCACCGACGAAGCGCAAGUGACGGUGGGUGCAGAAGAAGGAACGGCCAACUACGUGCCAGCAGCCGCAGGAA